UCCAUCCCCCUACCUUGAUGGUGUCUGCACCUUGAUCAGUCUCAGAGAGAGAGGUGCUCUAAUCAAGAUUUGAUAUUUUGGAAAUUGUAUCAUAUGCAACACUGAAGCCCCCCACAAUGCCUACCAUUGUUGCUCUUAUGAUACAAAUCCCAAGGUACAAUCUUAGGUAGUAGAAGUGGUUGGGAUACCUCAUUCUCGUCAAAACAAGGAGGGUUAGCUACCUCUCCAAGAUUGAGCUGGCCUCCAUGGUUUGACCACCCUAUAUAAAAGGAUUCUAUGCGGAUGUUGAAGCAUUCUCCAUUAUCAACCAUCUCCUUCAUCAUCAACUAUCUUCUCCAUCUCUGGUAUACAGCGAGACCUCUCCACUGCCCUCUCUGUCUUCUAAGCCUUCUUGUUCUCUCACCUCCUCACUCACUGGUGAUUACCUUGAUAUCUCAGCACCCACGUUCUUCCCUAUCAGUGGACCACAUGAACAAAUACCACCCACAACAUUAUUGUUUAUAAUUGGGAUGUUUGGGUUGGCACUAGGGAAAUGUUUGUAAUAAGUUGGGAUUUUAGUUUACAUGUGUUGUUUACAUUCAAGGUGUAUGACUGCAUGUUUUGUUAAUUCAAACUAUUUCUUUUUUUUUUUUUUUUGUUUUUUGGGUGGUGUUUGAUAUGCCAAGACGCUGAACCAGUGAAUGCAUGGAUUGGUUUUUGUCAAUUGUCCUUGUGCUACAGAACUAGAAGUCGCGGAUGUUACUGAAAUUUCUUACUGCAACUGGCCCAUUUCCACAAAUAUUUAUCAAGGGGGAGUUCAUCGGAGGAUCAUACAUCAUUCUUAACAUGCACCAGACUGGCAAGCUGAAGGAAAUGAUUAAAGAUAUUACUGCCAACCAGGAGAGAUCAGAGUAAUUUAUGAUUGUGGACCGUGUAUGGUAAGAGUUUGGAGUAGUCUUUUGAUGUUCUAAUUUCUUUUGAGGUAAUAUAAGCAUGCUAAAUUUAUGUCCUGUUAACAGACCCUGUUUCAGCGGGAAGCUCAUGCAUUGAGUAGCUUGUUUUAACUAUGUUAAACUAUGAAUAUUUGUUGAUUUAAUCCAAUAAUGGUUCGUUCAA
Camellia sinensis is the source of this 1095-nucleotide non-coding RNA. The record is from RefSeq and is a predicted model, not a curated record. NCBI's taxonomy places the organism in Eukaryota, Viridiplantae, Streptophyta, Magnoliopsida, Ericales, Theaceae.